This is a long non-coding RNA of Stomoxys calcitrans (stable fly), 408 nucleotides long. RefSeq lists it as uncharacterized. Lineage: Eukaryota; Metazoa; Arthropoda; Insecta; Diptera; Muscidae. The transcript is spliced from 2 exons. The record is from RefSeq and is a predicted model, not a curated record.
UGAACCUGAUUUUUUUUUUAAAUUACGACUGUAAUUGAAAUUUUUUCAUUUUCAUUUCAGUUAGCUACUGAACUAGAUAAUGUUGCCAACUGAUUACUGGUUUCACAACUGGGUGCGGUAAAAGGAAUUUGUGUGCGAUUUAGUGCUGUUGCCCAUCUAUGGUUUAGAUCAACAUGAAAAGUGCUCUGGUAGAUAUUUUACAUAUACACAGGUGAAAAAAUGUCCAUUUUGCUGUGCCAAACGAGAACUUUCUCACAAAGCAAAUUUUUGACAAAUCUGCCGGAGCAAAAACAAGCCACGCUAUUUUAAAUAAUCAAAUAUUUCACACAGCGAUUGCAAAUGUCUCUAAUAAAAAUAUUUUAUUUUGUUUCUUAAGAAUAAAAUAACUAACGAGAGACUUGAAUACUA